UGAUAUUGCUCGGUAGACCGACGGUCCG
This 28-nucleotide non-coding RNA is filed under the name Bombyx mori (domestic silkworm). The record is from RNAcentral. Lineage: Eukaryota; Metazoa; Arthropoda; Insecta; Lepidoptera; Bombycidae.